UUCAGAUGUUUUCUGUUUCCCCACUGAUCCAAUAUCGUCCGUCGCAUGUUGUGUUUUUUUCCCCAAAAUUUCGUCUGUGAGACAAAAGCAACAAAAAGCAAACGUUUUGUGUAUAUAUUUGUCACUUUUAUUACACAAUACGCCGGUAUAUAAUUCACGUCGAACAGGAAUACAGGAGCAAUAUAACAACAAUUAACAGAGAAGAUAAGUUGCCAAGAAGUCUCAUUAAGCUCAGAUAUGAAUCUGCAAAUUGUAUCGUAUAUAGCGAUAGCAUGGAUAACACUUACUUGCAUGCAGUUGGCCACCACUGACUGCGACAUGACCAACUCGAGCUCGUGUCCAGUAGGCACGUGCUGUGUGCACGACUUAUUGUACUCGAGUACCACGUGCCGCCAUCUGGGUCAGGAUGGUGCUUCGUGUACGAUAAGGCCCACUUCGCUAGAGUGCGCAUGCGCCGACGGUCUAGUCUGCUUGACCAACAUUCAUGGAGGCCACUUCUCUUCCGUUUACGGGAAAUGUGUACGAAAAUACGACGCGCCGAUUGAGGGAUAGUUAAAUGAACAUGAUGUGUUUUAUAUCCCAGUUUGAAGACGAUGUGCCAUAUGGAAUUGUUUGUCUGUAUGUUUGUUGCCGCUCAAAAUGCUUACAUUAUGUUCACAUAUUUUAUGUCGUCGUUGUUUGUUUGUUUUCUGACCAUAUUUGAGCAGCGCCCUGGGGAAACCUGGCUAAAUGCAUGUGCGUAAAAUGUCGUCCCAAAUCAGCCAGUGCAGUCUGCACAGGCUUGACAUGAACGACACUUUCCAACAUGACAAGAUUUUCGAUAAGAUGAAACAUCCUUUAAAUGAAAUAUUCAUUAAAGCGGAAAGUGUCGUCCCAGAUUAAUAUGUGCGGACUUCACAGGCUAAUUCGGACGACACUUUACGAAAAAUGCAUUAAGCCCGGUUUUCCCAUAGCGCAACUCAUUUAUAAUGUCGCAAUAAAGCUUCAGAUCUGUAUUCAUAGCAAACCUGCAAUUUUUGGUGGAGGUGGAAGGAAGGAUUUAUUAUUUUUAUUGGAACUUUUGAGGAAGCUAUCAUUUGAUAUGUUUCGGAAAAGAUGUGCAUACAGUUAGCCAUUAAGAUGCUAGCAUUGUCGAUUUACGUCUUGAUACUGUAAACUUCAGUAUACGUUUACCCUUUCCCACUUAAUGCAAAGUGAAAAUGGCUAUGUGCAUACAGCUGAAUCCAUAACAGCCUGCGAGUAACUCGCAGCCUGUUCAGAUUUUAUGCUGUUUGCUGCUCAUCAGUAUCUAAGGGUUGGAAAUUAAGCCUUUACGAUUGGAAUCUAGUGAGAUAGGUCUUUAAUUAAAUUUAACUUUCUAAAAGACUACAAAUGCGUCAAAAACGUAUCUAAGUGGUAAAGGGUUAAAAUAGCUACUUACACAAACAAUAUUCUGGUCAUAGUUUGAUUUAAAUAAGUCAAAGACCUAUCAGUAUAUUGAUAGGUCUUUGAAUAAGUUCGCUCCAAAUACCGAUUGUUGGUUAUGUAUAUUCCUCUUCAAAAUAAAAAAACUUAAUAACUGAUAACGAUCAAAUUAAGAUAUGCAUCGAGUUUGCCUUUUAAACUCGAAGUAAUAAAUUUCAUUUCGUCACAUAUUCGAUGAUUGCAACAUAAACGAACCUUAACACGGGGCACGUGCGCUAUGUCAUCUGCGUCAUGAUUGGCUGGUUUUAUUGUCACCUGCAUGCGCUCGAUCAGUGGUCUAGAACGCUAGCAGGUGGUGUAGCCAAGCGUCGCGGCCACGCCGAUUUGUUCUAAUUUUAUCCCCGCGCGCGCGAUAACAUAUGCAUCGAUAACAAAGCUCGUCCCGAGAUCAAGGGGUGAAUUUCAUAUUUAAUAUCACAGGGAAAAUUAAAUAAUAGGCCGGUCUUUUUGUUUCCAAAUGGUCAUUUGUUGAGUAUCCGUUUGAAGUCGGAAAAUCAGCGUACGUUUCGCGUACCCACGCGACAGUGGUUAAGGGUGAUGCUAGAUUUAAUGAAGUUUAUUGUUAAUCCACGAACCAGAGCUAAAUAGCGUUUUCAAACGAAUUUGAAUACAUAUAUGCGGAGAGUGAUUUCGAAUGCGACGUCUCUGAAAUGCACAACCUAAGACCAUUACAGCAAUGCUACGUAUAUAUUACAUGCAUUUCAUUGAUAUUGUAUUAUUGUGUUCGUCUAUUAAACUGCCUGCUAUAUAAGUGAAGUUAAACAAUAUUACACAAA
Dreissena polymorpha is the source of this 2240-nucleotide long non-coding RNA. RefSeq lists it as uncharacterized. The record is from RefSeq and is a predicted model, not a curated record. The transcript is spliced from 2 exons. NCBI's taxonomy places the organism in Eukaryota, Metazoa, Mollusca, Bivalvia, Myida, Dreissenidae.